AAUAUAAUAUAUCUCCAAGCUGGUGAGACCUAAGGGAAUUCUACGGUUGCCGGCCAGGACGAAAGUCCUCAGGGUGUGUCUGGAAACGGAUAGGCCUUCACGUUUGAAAAGGAGGGAAGAAAAGUGCUUU
Molecule: non-coding RNA, 130 nt
Organism: Desulfitobacterium hafniense DCB-2
Lineage: Bacteria; Bacillati; Bacillota; Clostridia; Eubacteriales; Desulfitobacteriaceae
Source: Rfam